AGUAAGGUCAGCUAAAUAAGCUUUUGGGCCCAUACCCCACAUAUGUUGG
This 49-nucleotide transfer RNA is filed under the name Coregonus sardinella (least cisco). RNAcentral describes it as "partial tRNA-Met". Lineage: Eukaryota; Metazoa; Chordata; Actinopteri; Salmoniformes; Salmonidae. The record is from RNAcentral.